GCGGAAGGAUCAUUACUGAGUGGGGGCUGCCUCCGGGCCCCCAACCUCCCCCCCCUGAAUACCUAAUACUGUUGCUUUUCGGGGAACCCCCUCGGGGGCCAGCCGCCGGGGACUACUGAACUUCAUGCCUGAAUUGAUGCAGUCUGAGUCUGAAUAUAAAAUCAGUCAAAACUUUCUGCAAUGGAUCUCUUGGUUCCGGCGU
This 202-nucleotide unclassified non-coding RNA is filed under the name uncultured fungus. Its description in RNAcentral is "partial contains 18S rRNA, ITS1, 5.8S rRNA". Lineage: Eukaryota; Fungi. The record is from RNAcentral.